UACGAAGGGGGCUAGCGUUGUUCGGAUUUACUGGGCGUAAAGCGCACGUAGGCGGGCUUUUAAGUCAGAGGUGAAAUCCCAGGGCUCAACCCUGGAACUGCCUUUGAUACUGGAAGUCUUGAGUAUGGAAGAGGUGAGUGGAAUUGCGAGUGUAGAGGUGAAAUUCGUAGAUAUUCGCAGGAACACCAGUGGCGAAGGCGGCUCACUGGUCCAUUACUGACGCUGAGGUGCGAAAGCGUGGGGAGCAAACAGG
This 253-nucleotide ribosomal RNA is filed under the name uncultured bacterium. RNAcentral's name for it is "partial 16S ribosomal RNA". It matches the Rfam family "Bacterial small subunit ribosomal RNA", at positions 524 to 776 of the family's 1533-position model. The record is from RNAcentral.